Long non-coding RNA from Spodoptera frugiperda (fall armyworm), 203 nucleotides. RefSeq lists it as uncharacterized. The record is from RefSeq and is a predicted model, not a curated record. The transcript is spliced from 3 exons. NCBI's taxonomy places the organism in Eukaryota, Metazoa, Arthropoda, Insecta, Lepidoptera, Noctuidae.
UCAUGAGCUAAUGUUCACAUGUAAACAGCAGCUCGUGUAGUGUAGAUGUCCAGUCAACAAGGAUGUAGCGAGGUUGACUGUCCAGGCGACACACGUACUUAGGUAUCGUCAUGAGCUAAUGUUCACAUGUAAACAGCAGCUCAUGUAGUGUAGAUGUCCAGUCAACAAGGAUGUAGCGAGAUUGACUGUCCAGGCGACACACG